UACGUAGGGGGCAAGCGUUGUUCGGAUUCAUUGGGCGUAAAGGGUGUGUAGGUGGCGCCGUAAGUCGGGUGUGAAAUUUCGGAGCUUAACUCCGAAACUGCAUUCGAUACUGCGGUGCUUGAGGACUGGAGAGGAGACUGGAAUUCAUGGUGUAGCAGUGAAAUGCGUAGAGAUCAUGAGGAAGACCAGUGGCGAAGGCGGGUCUCUGGACAGUUCCUGACACUGAGACACGAAGGCCAGGGGAGCAAACGGG
Molecule: ribosomal RNA, 253 nt
Filed under: uncultured bacterium
Lineage: Bacteria
Description: partial 16S ribosomal RNA
Rfam family: Bacterial small subunit ribosomal RNA
Source: RNAcentral